This is a long non-coding RNA of Cyprinus carpio (common carp), 293 nucleotides long. RefSeq lists it as uncharacterized. The record is from RefSeq and is a predicted model, not a curated record. NCBI's taxonomy places the organism in Eukaryota, Metazoa, Chordata, Actinopteri, Cypriniformes, Cyprinidae. The transcript is spliced from 3 exons.
CAGGUCUUCCAGCCGGUCACGUGACUGAAAGCUGCCACUCACUAAAAAUAGUGCAGUAAGAACUGUAGGCAUCAGUGCUCCAAACAUGAGAAAGAGCAUUGAGAAGAAGAGGAAACCAGUGUUGUUGAAGACUUUGCUGGCAUCAUUGCCAAUAUUGAGAUGGGUUAGCAGUGGAGCUUCCUGUGGCUGUGUUCCUCCAUUACACAGGCUUUCCUCCACAGUAAUACUAACUGACCCAAGAUCAGAUGCCUUCACUGCCAUUCCAAAGAUCUAAAGAGAGCAAAAAUCAUUCA